This 240-nucleotide unclassified non-coding RNA is filed under the name soil metagenome. RNAcentral describes it as "partial contains 5.8S ribosomal RNA, internal transcribed spacer 2, and large subunit ribosomal RNA". The record is from RNAcentral.
AAGACUAUAGACCUGCGGAGUACCUGCGGAGGGAUCAUUACAAAUCCAAAACAAUGACUCGUUGAAAUGUUCUCGGCCUUGGGGUGUGGCAUCCACUUUAUCCACCGUCGGUGGUGUCGUGGACCCGCCACGCCAAAGAGAAAAGAGAAGCUGGCAUACGUGCAUCGCUUCUCUAACCUCUGAAACCAAGGUUCGCACAAUGACGCUUUUCAUAUUGACAUUUACGUAUCAGUGAUAACA